This 782-nucleotide ribosomal RNA is filed under the name uncultured bacterium. RNAcentral describes it as "bacterial SSU rRNA". It matches the Rfam family "Bacterial small subunit ribosomal RNA", at positions 750 to 1532 of the family's 1533-position model. The record is from RNAcentral.
GUCACGAAAGCGUGGGUAGCAAACAGGAUUAGAUACCCUGGUAGUCCACGCUGUAAACGAUGAGUGCUAGGUGUUGGGUAGCGAUACUCAGUGCCGAAGUAAACACAAUAAGCACUCCGCCUGGGGAGUGCGGUCGCAAGACUGAAACUCAAAGGAAUUGAUGGGGACCCGCACAAGCAGCGGAGCAUGUGGUUUAAUUCGAAGCAACGCGAAGAACCUUACCAAGGCUUGACAUCCCCUUGACCGGCACAGAGAUGUGCCCUCUCCUUCGGGAGCAAGGGUGACAGGUGGUGCAUGGUUGUCGUCAGCUCGUGUCGUGAGAUGUUGGGUUAAGUCCCGCAACGAGCGCAACCCUUAUCGUUAGUUGCCAGCAGGUGAAGCUGGGCACUCUAAUGAGACUGCCGGUGAUAAACCGGAGGAAGGUGGGGAUGACGUCAAAUCAUCAUGCCCCUUAUGUCUUGGGCUACACACGUGCUACAAUGGUCGGUACAAAGGGGAGCGAAGGAGCGAUCCGGAGCAAAUCCCAAUAAACCGAUCCCAGUUCGGAUUGUAGGCUGCAACUCGCCUACAUGAAGUCGGAGUUGCUAGUAAUCGCGAAUCAGAACGUCGCGGUGAAUGCGUUCCCGGGUCUUGUACACACCGCCCGUCACACCAUGGAAGUUGGUAAUACCCGAAGUCGCUGAGCUAACCGCAAGGAGGCAGGCGCCGAAGGUAGGAUCAAUGACUGGGGUGAAGUCGUAACAAGGUAGCCGUAUCGGAAGGUGCGGCUGGAUCACCUCCUU